GUGCUUACUUCAGCAGCACAUAUACUAAAAUUAGAAUGCAAUGGAGAAGAUCAGCAUGGACCCUGGGCAAGGAUGACAGCAAAUGUAUGAAGGGUUUCAUACUUUU
This is a small nuclear RNA of Artibeus jamaicensis (Jamaican fruit-eating bat), 106 nucleotides long. Lineage: Eukaryota; Metazoa; Chordata; Mammalia; Chiroptera; Phyllostomidae. The record is from RefSeq and is a predicted model, not a curated record.